Non-coding RNA from Phoenix dactylifera (date palm), 2116 nucleotides. The record is from RefSeq and is a predicted model, not a curated record. Lineage: Eukaryota; Viridiplantae; Streptophyta; Magnoliopsida; Arecales; Arecaceae.
GUUGAAAAGGGGCAAAAUGCCGAUGAGCAUGAACGGAUGAAGGCGUUGGGCUCUUGAACCCUCUCGAGAAACCAAACCAGAUCUCAUUCCCACGCGUACAGUUUUCGCCAGUAAAGCUUCCAGCUGCUUGUAUCAAAAUUAUAUCCAUCCUGGUGUGGCAUGAUAUUAUAGCUAGGUUUAAACUUCACCAUAUUAAUUCCUGCCCUGACGCCGAUUCCUCUUCGCGCGAGCCUCAUUCCCUCCGCUUCUCGUCACCGGCUACGGAGGGGCGAGAGAAAUGGGAAGUGCGUCGGCCCUCUCCUCGUUCCCUCUCCCGGUAUGGCAUGAUAUAAAUCGGAAGGGCGUGGUCUCCGAGAGUUUUUGCCAUCCUCAUCGAGGCUGCUUCCAGCGUCGGCCCUCUCCUCCUACUCCUCCUCUCCCCUUCUUUCUCACUGCUUCCAAAUCCAAGGCCUCGAUCCCCAGCUUGCGGAUUUCUAACUGUCAAAGAGCUAUCAGACAUGUCAUCUGUCUGAGUGGAACGAAUUCUGCAGAAAAUUAUACGCCGGACGAUACCACAUCUUCAUCUAAGGAUGCAGCUUUUGAUAUAGCACUUCCUAGGAGAAGUUUGAUGGUGCAGUUCACAUGUGAUGCCUGUGGUGAAAGAACUCGGCGUCUUAUCAAUAGAUUAGCCUAUGAGCGUGGGACUGUUUUUGUACAGUGUGCAGGGUGUCUUGUGUAUCACAAAUUUGUUGACAACCUUGGUCUUGUGGUUGAGUAUGAUCUUCGGGAGGAACUACAUGGAGAUUCUGAUGGUAUUGCGGAGACUGGGACUUCGAAUUCUGAAAGCUAAAAUAUGUCAUGGAUAUCAAGUGCUCUGCCCAAUCCGCUGUUCCUAGAAGCUUCACGGUUCGAAACUCAGCUUAGGCAAGGGCUAGGCAACAGAAGGGAAGCCAUCUCGAUGACCUAAAAAAAAAAAAAAUCAAGUCCGUCUUUUGUUCUACUCUUCAGAUUCUCCAGCUUUUCAACUUAACACACAUCAAGUCGACCAGAUCUUGAAGAGCAACAAUUGGUGGUCAAUAUUCGGGAACAAUUGGUGGUCAUCGAUGGCAUGGUAGUUGGCCCUUAGAUGCAUGAGGGAUCCGGCCUGGCUGGAGAGGGGAUGGGUCAAGUUUGUUUCCUUGUUGCUGGUAGCGAACACGAUGACCCACACCUCUCCCCUAGUCGAGCAUAGUCCAUUGUCGAAGUUAGAGCAGGCCUGAGAGUGUCACCACUAGUCUGACAUUGUUGAACAAACCAAUGUGAAUAAUGAUCUAUGAUCACUAGAUCAGAUUAGGAUUGUUUUGAAAUCUAUGUAAGCCAAGUUUGUAGAGGAUGGGGUCAACACUAACCUUGUGAUCCCCUGAAGAGGAAAUCCAUCUGUCCUGUGAUCCACUCUCCUCCCUCUGCCCCAGCUCUGUAGUGCAAUCAAUGUUCUCAAUCACAAUCACUAGGAUUGAUCGAUUCAACAUUCCGGCAAGCAAUCUUCAAAUGGUCGAAUUCCAUAUUACUUAAGUGGAUACCAAAUUAUAGAUGUCAAACUUGAGAGAGCCUUCCCAAUCCUCUUGUAAUAGCCCGUAUUCACGAACCUUGCUCGAUCCUCCAUGACUUUCUGCUUGAGCUCGGCAUCCGUUGCCAAUGGAUCGAAAGUUGAUGGGUGGUGGAGAUCUAUUGGGCUCCAACGUUCCCGCUUGUUAACUGGAGUGUCCUGUUGUCCUCAUUUAUAGCUUUUGCUCGGGCAAGGAUGGAUGGCAAGGAAGAAUUCAGUGCUUUGUCCAUGUGCUUCUUGUGAAAGCCGAGCUCAAUCCGGAGCUUGGGCCACCUGCUCCUGCUCGUCUUUUAUUAUGUAAUUUUUUUGCUGAUGUUUCUUUUAGCUAAAACCUUUAUAGACCUUUGGCCCAAUUUUGUUUGUUUCCAGAGCUUAGUGCACCUGCUCCUGCUUGUCUUUGAUUAUGUAAAUUUUUGCUGAUGUUUCUUUUAGGUAAAACCUUUAUAGACCUUUGGCCCAAUUUUGUUUUGUUUUCUUGUACAGGAGCAAAGUCUAUCGCUCAUUUCUCCAUUGCGCUUUUUUUUUAUUAUUAUUAUUUGGCUAGGUUGUUCA